GAGCCUGUCUGGCGCACAUAGGUACUGCUAAUUCCUUAUGACCGUGGUUCAAUUCCGCGGCUUGCUCG
RNAcentral lists this transfer RNA (68 nucleotides) under Nanorana pleskei (Tibetan frog). RNAcentral's name for it is "tRNA-Ser". The record is from RNAcentral. Lineage: Eukaryota; Metazoa; Chordata; Amphibia; Anura; Dicroglossidae.